GAUGAACGCUGGCGGCGUGCCUAAUACAUGCAAGUCGAGCGAACAGACGAGGAGCUUGCUCCUUCGACGUUAGCGGCGGACGGGUGAGUAACACGUAGGUAACCUACCUAUAAGACUGGGAUAACUUCGGGAAACCGGAGCUAAUACCGGAUAAUAUUUCGAACCGCAUGGUUCGAUAGUGAAAGAUGGCUUUGCUAUCACUUAUAGAUGGACCUGCGCCGUAUUAGCUAGUUGGUAAGGUAACGGCUUACCAAGGCAACGAUACGUAGCCGACCUGAGAGGGUGAUCGGCCACACUGGAACUGAGACACGGUCCAGACUCCUACGGGAGGCAGCAGUAGGGAAUCUUCCGCAACGGGCGAAAGCCUGACGGAGCAACGCCGCGUGAGUGAUGAAGGUCUUCGGAUCGUAAAACUCUGUUAUUAGGGAAGAACAAACGUGUAAGUAACUGUGCAUGUCUUGACGGUACCUAAUCAGAAAGCCACGGCUAACUACGUG
Molecule: ribosomal RNA, 497 nt
Filed under: uncultured bacterium
Lineage: Bacteria
Description: partial 16S ribosomal RNA
Rfam family: Bacterial small subunit ribosomal RNA
Source: RNAcentral